AGAAUUUGAUCCUGGUUCAGAUUGAAUGCUGACAGCGUGGAUGAGGCAUGCAAGUCGUACGAAGUAGCAAUACUUAGUGGCGGAAGGGUUAGUAAUACAUGGGUAAUCUACCUCUAACAAUGGGAUAACGGUUGGAAACGACCGCUAAUACCACAUGUGGUGUUUAUUAGGCAUCUAGAAAACAUUAAAGCAGGGGACCGUAAGGCCUUGCGGUUAGAGAAGAGCCCAUGCGAUAUCAGCUAGUUGGUGAGGUAAUGGCUCACCAAGGCUAAGACGUCUAGGAGGAUUGAGAGAUCGACCUCCAACACUGGGACUGAGACACUGUCCAGACUCCUACGGGAGGCUGCAGUCGAGAAUCUUUCGCAAUGGGCGAAAGCCUGACGAAGCGACGCCGUGUGAGUGAUGAAGGCCUUCGGGUUGUAAAACUCUUUCGCUUAGGAACAAGAGAAGUCGAUUAAUACUCGGCUAAUUUGAGAGUACUAGGUAAAGAAGCACCGGCUAACUACGUGCCAGCAGCUGCGGUAAUACGUAGGGUGCAAGCAUUAAUCGGAUUUAUUGGGCGUAAAGGGGGCGCAGGCGGCAAAGUAAGUGGGAUGUGAAAUCCCGGGGCUCAACCCCGGACCCGCAUUCCAAACUACUUUACUAGAGGAUAGGCGGAGAAAACGGAAUUCCACAUGUAGCGGUGAAAUGCGUAGAUAUGUGGAAGAACACCUGUGGAAAAGCGGUUUUCUAGCUUAUUCCUGACGCUCAUGCCCGAAAGCUAGGGGAGCAAACAGGAUUAGAUACCCUGGUAGUCCUAGCCGUAAACUAUGUAUACUUGGUGUAGUCGGACUCAACCCUGACUGUGCCGUAACUAACGUGUUAAGUAUACCGCCUGGGGAGUACGUUCGCAAGGGUGAAACUCAAAAGAAUUGACGGGUACCCGCACAAGCAGUGGAGUAUGUGGUUUAAUUCGAUGCAACGCGAAGAACCUCACCCAGAUUUGACAUGCAGUAGACAGUCACAGAAAUGUGAUCUUCCUUCGGGACUGCUGCACAGGUGCUGCAUGGCUGUCGUCAGCUCGUGCCGUGAGGUGUUGGGUUAAGUCCCGCAACGAGCGCAACCCCUGUCGUUAGUUGCCAACAUUUAAGGUGGGAACUCUAGCGAGGCUGCCUGGGUUAACCAGGAGGAAGGCGGGGAUGACGUCAAGUCCGCAUGGCCCUUAUAUCUGGGGCUACACACGUACUACAAUGGUCGGUACAAUAGGCAGCAAAGCCGCGAGGUAGAGCAAAUCCAAAAAACCGAUCCCAGUUCGGAUUGAAGUCUGCAACUCGACUUCAUGAAGUUGGAAUUGCUAGCAAUGGCGUGUCAGCAAUAACGCCGUGAAUACGUUCCCGGGUCUUGUACACACCGCCCGUCACAUCAUGGAAGUUAGUUUCACCCGAAGUCCCUGACUCAACCGCAAGGGGAGAAGGGCCUAAGGUGAGGCUGAUGACUGGGAUGAAGUCGUAACAAGGUA
RNAcentral lists this ribosomal RNA (1498 nucleotides) under metagenome. RNAcentral's name for it is "bacterial SSU rRNA". It matches the Rfam family "Bacterial small subunit ribosomal RNA". The record is from RNAcentral.